Long non-coding RNA from Hypanus sabinus (Atlantic stingray), 597 nucleotides. RefSeq lists it as uncharacterized. The transcript is spliced from 3 exons. Lineage: Eukaryota; Metazoa; Chordata; Chondrichthyes; Myliobatiformes; Dasyatidae. The record is from RefSeq and is a predicted model, not a curated record.
AAAACAGAGAUUGACACAGUGGUCACCCUUGUCCAUGUCUCUGGGAACGCGAAGCACAGAAUCAAAUAUCGCUGUGAUGAUUGUACGCUCUAGUAUCAAUUGUUUGGUGACAAUAAAAGUAAAGUAAAGUAAAGAUAAAGGAGCAUUUACUUCAGAAAUUGUCUCAUCUGUCAGGAACCUUUGCCCCGGAGUCUGGUGCUGAUAUUAUUGUGCCACCAAGUGGGACUAUUCUCUUCUCCUUUUUCAUAGCUGGCUUUACUGCAGUAAGUUUCAGCUUUUCAGCAAUGGCCAACAAGACGUCCUUUCUGGCAUCCCCUAAUACCUUAGGGGUUGGCGAUGUCAGAAAUGCAUCAAUAUCCAUUGCUGCUGGUUUCAACACACAAGUCAAACAAAAGGGAGAUAACCAAUCAGAUCGAUAAUCAAUCAAUCAAUCAAUAAGCUUCAAUUUUGUUCAUAUCCGGCAUGAGCCCCCAAUUUUGUUAUGUACAAGCAGCAAUAGAUCACAAAUUGAGUCAUGUCUCAAUGUUAAAACCAUUAUCUUUAUUAGUAUUACACACAAUAUAGAAAAUUAAAUGAAAUAAACAGAAGUUAACAAUG